RNAcentral lists this ribosomal RNA (1369 nucleotides) under synthetic construct. RNAcentral's name for it is "bacterial SSU rRNA". It matches the Rfam family "Bacterial small subunit ribosomal RNA". The record is from RNAcentral. RNAcentral also lists the same sequence under 1 other name.
AGAGGUUGAUCCUGGCUCAAGAUGAACGCUGGCGGCGUGCCUAACACAUGCCAGUCAAGCGAUUCUCUUCCGAGAACAGCGGCGGACGGGUGAGUAACGCGUGGGUAACCUGCCCUGUACUCACGGAUAACAUACCCAAAGGUAGGCUAAUACGGGAUAAUAUAUAAAGGGCGCAUGACUUUUAUAUCAAAGAUUUUUCGGUACAGGAUGGACCCGCGUCUGAUUAGCUUGUUGGCGGGGUAACGGCCCACCAAGGCGACGAUCAGUAGCCGACCUGAGAGGGUGAUCGGCCACAUUGUGAACUGAGACACGGUCCAAACUCCUACGGGAGGCAGCAGUGGGGAAUAUUGCCCAAUGGGCGCAAGCCUGAUGCAGCAACGCCGCGUGAGCGAUGAAGGCUUUCGGGUGGUAAAGUUCUGUCCUCAAGGAAGAUAAUGACGGUACUUGAGGAGGAAGCCCCGGCUAACUACGUGCCAGCAGCCGCGGUAAUACGUAGGGGGCUAGCGUCUAUCCGGAUUUACUGGGCGUAAAGGGUGGGUAGGCGGUCUUUCAAUUCAGGAGUUAAAGGCUACGGUUCACCCGUAGUAAGCUCCUGAUACUGUCUGACUUGAGUGCAGGAGAGGAAAGCGGAAUUCCCAGUGUAGCGGUGAAAUGCGUAGAUAUUGGGAGGAACACCAGUAGCGAAGGCGGCUUUCUGGACUGUAACUGACGCUGAGGCUCGAAAGCGUGGGGAGCAAACAGGAUUAGAUACCCUGGUAGUCCACGCCGUAAACGAUGAAUACUAGGUGUCGGGGAGCAAAGCUUUUCGUUGCUGCCGCAAAAUCAGUAUGUAGUCUUCCUGGGGAGUAUGUUCGCGAGAGUGAAAAUCUAAGGAAUUGACGGGGACCCGCACAAGAGGUGCAGCAUGUGGUUUAAUUUUAGACAACGCGAAGAGCCUUUCCAUCGUCUUUACAUCCGUCUUAAGUGCACGUAACGGUGCCGUUCUUUUGGGACAGCGGAGACACGGGGUGCAUGGGGGUGUUGAGCUCUUGUGUUGUGAUAUUGGGUUAAGUCUCCCACUGAGCGCGACCCCUAUCCCCAGUAUCGGUCAUUUUAGAUGGCCCCUUUGAGGAGAUCGCCCGGGAUUACCUGGAGGAAGGCGGGGGUGAUGUCCAAUCAUCCAGCCCCUUAUGUGUUUGGGCUACACACGUGGCACACAUUGCGUAAAUAAUAGGGAAGCGAACCUGCGAGGGUGGGCAAAUCCCUAAAAAUACCGUCCCAGUUCGGGUUGCAGUCUGCAACUCGCCUACACGAAGCUGGAAUUGCUAGUAAUCGCGGAUCAGAAUGCCGCGGUGAAUACGCUCCCGGGUCUUGCACACACCGCCCGUCA